Molecule: long non-coding RNA, 1221 nt
Filed under: Mytilus galloprovincialis (Mediterranean mussel)
Lineage: Eukaryota; Metazoa; Mollusca; Bivalvia; Mytilida; Mytilidae
Source: RNAcentral
CCCCCUCUCCCCAACAGAUAAAACAAGUCCAUGUUGUAUACAAAUGAUAUUUUACCAAGGCAGAUUUAUGUUGGAAGUGUUUUCUUUUAUUUACGCUCCCUCCCCCUAACAGAUUAAACAAGUCCAUGUUGUAUACAAAUGAUAUUUUACCAAGGCAUAUUUAUGUUGGAAGUGUUUUUUUUUCUUUACGCUCCCUCUCCCUAACAGAUUAAACAAGUCCAUGUUGUAUACAAAUGAUAUUUUACCAAGGCAUAUUUGAUGUUGGAAGUGUUUUCUUUUAUUUACGCCCCAUCUCCUACAGAUAAACAAGUCCAUGUUGUAUACAAAUGAUAUUUACCAAGCAUAUUUAUGUUUGGAAGUGUUUUCUUUUAUUUACGCUCCCUUUCGCCUAACAGAUUAAAACAAGUCCAUGGUUGUAUACAAAUGAUAUUUACCAAGCAUAUUUAUGUUGGAAGUGUUUUUUCUUUUAUCUACGCUCCCUUCGUCCCUUACAUAUUAACAAGUCCGAUGUUUGUAUACAAAUGGAUAUUUUACCAAGGCUAUUUAUGUGGAAGUGGGUUUCUUUUAUUUACGCCCCUCUCCCUAACAGAUUAAACAAUCCAUGCUGUAUACAAAUGAUAUUUUACAAGGCAUAUUUAUGUUGGAAGUGUUUUCUUUUAUUUCCCUUCUCCCUAACAAUUAAUCAAGUCCAUGGUUUACAAAUGAUAUUUUACCAAGAUUAUUAUGUGAAGUGUUUUCUUUAGUUACGCCCCCUCUAACCUAACAGAUUGAACAACGUCCAUGGGUAUACAAUAUAUUUACCAAGGCAGAUUUAUGUUGGAAGUGUUUUCUUUUAUUUACGCUCCCUCCCCCUAACAGAUUAAACAAGUCCAUGUUGUAUACAAAUGAUAUUUUACCAAGGCAUAUUUAUGUUGGAAGUGUUUUUUUUUCUUUACGCUCCCUCUCCCUAACAGAUUAAACAAGUCCAUGUUGUAUACAAAUGAUAUUUUACCAAGCAUUAUUAAUUUAUGUUGGAAAGUGUUUUUAUUUACGCCCCCUUUCCCUAACAAGAUUAAACAAGUCCAUGGUGUAUACAAAUGAUAUUUUACCAAUGCAUACAUAUGUUGAAGUGUUUUCUUUUAGUACGCCCCCCUCUCCCUAACGAUAAACAUGUCCAUGUUGUAUACAAAUGAUAUUUUACCAAGACAUAUUUAUGUUGGAAGUUUUUCUUUUAUUCACGCU